GAUGAACGCUGGCGGCGUGCCUAAUACAUGCAAGUCGAGCGAACAGAUGAGGAGCUUGCUCCUCUGACGUUAGCGGCGGACGGGUGAGUAACACGUGGAUAACCUACCUAUAAGACUGGGAUAACUUCGGGAAACCGGAGCUAAUACCGGAUAAUAUAUUGAACCGCAUGGUUCAAUAGUGAAAGACGGUUUUGCUGUCACUUAUAGAUGGAUCCGCGCCGCAUUAGCUAGUUGGUAAGGUAACGGCUUACCAAGGCAACGAUGCGUAGCCGACCUGAGAGGGGGAUUGGCCACACUGGAACUGAGACACGGUCCAGACUCCUACGGGAGGCAGCAGUAGGGAAUCUUCCGCAAUGGGCGAAAGCCUGACGGAGCAACGCCGCGUGAGUGAUGAAGGUCUUCGGAUCGUAAAACUCUGUUAUUAGGGAAGAACAAAUGUGUAAGUAACUAUGCACGUCUUGACGGUACCUAAUCAGAAAGCCACGGCUAACUACGUG
Molecule: ribosomal RNA, 497 nt
Filed under: uncultured bacterium
Lineage: Bacteria
Description: partial 16S ribosomal RNA
Rfam family: Bacterial small subunit ribosomal RNA
Source: RNAcentral